Molecule: non-coding RNA, 93 nt
Organism: Lasiosphaeria hispida
Lineage: Eukaryota; Fungi; Ascomycota; Sordariomycetes; Sordariales; Lasiosphaeriaceae
Source: the annotation of a GenBank genome assembly
GCCCGAUUAGCUCAGCUGGUUAGAGCGUCGUACCAAUACUCCUGGAAUAAUAAGUAAAUGCGAAGGUCAACAGCCCAAUCCUGUUAUUGGGCA